UACGUAGGUGGCAAGCGUUGUCCGGAUUUACUGGGCGUAAAGAGCGCGCAGGCGGUCGUUCAAGUCGCGUGUGAAAGCCCCCGGCUCAACUGGGGAGGGUCACGCGAUACUGAUCGACUCGAAGGCAGGAGAGGGAAGUGGAAUUCCCGGUGUAGUGGUGAAAUGCGUAGAUAUCGGGAGGAACACCAGUGGCGAAGGCGAGUCUCUGGACAAUUCCUGACGCUGAGGCACGAAAGCUAGGGGAGCAAACAGG
Molecule: ribosomal RNA, 253 nt
Filed under: uncultured bacterium
Lineage: Bacteria
Description: partial 16S ribosomal RNA
Rfam family: Bacterial small subunit ribosomal RNA
Source: RNAcentral